RNAcentral lists this long non-coding RNA (256 nucleotides) under Elaeis guineensis (African oil palm). RNAcentral's name for it is "long non-coding RNA (EGUI_LNC076052)". The record is from RNAcentral. Lineage: Eukaryota; Viridiplantae; Streptophyta; Magnoliopsida; Arecales; Arecaceae.
UAUUUCUGUAUUGGCCUUUGCAAUUGGCAUAUCUCACUGAUGCUAAAUGGCCCAUGCAGGGCAUUCAGAAGGAGCUACCUCUCGGGCCUCAACGCCAAAUAAAAUUCGAUCCUGGGCCGUAUCCAGCCCUUCAAAAUUCCCACCCAAACGGUCCCGGACCAUGUGGGCUCCAUUUGAGUGCUUGCUGGCUGGAUUCCACAGUUUGCAGCCCAGAGAUCGCGCAUUUUAGGAUGAAGCGCUUGCCCGAAGAAGCCUG